Molecule: long non-coding RNA, 320 nt
Filed under: Zea mays
Lineage: Eukaryota; Viridiplantae; Streptophyta; Magnoliopsida; Poales; Poaceae
Description: long non-coding RNA (ZMAY_LNC003115)
Source: RNAcentral
CUUGUGGAGUCCAAAAGGACCAGAACCAUUUCACAUUUACAGUGACAGCAAGUAAUUUGAAGACACAACAGUGGCGACGCUAGUAACAAUAUCAUAAAAGCAUGGGUUGGUCAUCCAAACAGAAGAUCAGUUGAUAAACAGAGAGAGGAAUGUGAAAACCAACCUUUUUAUGGUAGCAGGUAGUGAUGGCAGUGCUCUAUCUUCUUUGCAGAUUUUUCUCAUGAAUAUCACUGCUAAAUCCAGUUUUCAACUCAAUAAAACCGAAAGCGAAGGGGCAUAUCAUCAGUUCCUCCAAACUUUCUACCCAGCUUCAGUAUUUG